This is a long non-coding RNA of Peromyscus maniculatus bairdii (prairie deer mouse), 2328 nucleotides long. RefSeq lists it as uncharacterized. NCBI's taxonomy places the organism in Eukaryota, Metazoa, Chordata, Mammalia, Rodentia, Cricetidae. The record is from RefSeq and is a predicted model, not a curated record.
UCGUGAUGCACCUCUUGCCUUCUGCUGUUUAGUUAGUCUGGAUCUCAGGCCGUGGGAAGAUGCUUUCCACAUUUAGUGUACUUCUUUCCCCAUUAAUUUAGUGCAUGCUAGAAAGUCCCUCACAGACACCUGGAGGUUUGUCUUCCUAGGUGAUUCUAGGUCCUGUCAAGUGGACAAUUAAUAUUUAAAGUCUCUUGUGUCUUUUGAAAGUGGAAAGGAAGGGAGGAGAAGAGAUGUGACCUCUACCUCUCCUUCUCUGUCUUUGACUCCCGGUUACCAUCUGGAUUGUCCUUUCAGUUGCUAUGACAACACUCGGACCAUGAGCAACUUGGGAGAAGGAAAGUCUCCAUUUCGCUUGUACUUCUGGGUCACAGCCCGUCGGUGAAGGAAGUUAGACCAGAAGCUCAAGCAGGACCUUGAUGUGUAAACAUUGAGGGUCGCUGAUUGCUGCUCACUCACAGGCUUAUCCUUGGCAGGUCUUAUUUAGCCCAGGCUUAUUUGCCUAGGCACUGGUGCCACCCACGGUGGGCUUGACCCUCAUACAUCAAUUGAUAAUCAAGCCAAUCUGAUCUGGACAGUCCCUCUAAGGAAACUCCCUUCUCUGGUGACCCCAGGCAAGUUGACAUUCUUAGUCCUUCCUUCCUUCUCGUUCUCCACCUGUCCCCAGCAGUUUGGUCUUCAGGUCCAUACCUCACCUCAUUGAGAUGACUAGCUGUCUCCAUGUGGCCCGAAUUCAGUGUGUACUCAGCUCUCCUUAUCUGACUUAAUAACAGUUUGUCCUAUGGACAAAUUCUCUCUUCAAACUCUUGGUACAAGGCUUGCAUGACAUUAAGCCUCCCUCAUUCCCCCCACCCCCCAACAUAGAUCUUUCUGUUCAUUUCCCUGUUUUGUUCUUUAAACAGUAUCUCUGGGCCACCUCAUAAAUUCCUGUAGCUUCUUUUAUUACCUGUGUGUGGCUGACCCCAAAAUUUAUCCUGCAUCUUGAUUACUGUUGUACAUUUUCCAUGGUUGGCAUUGAACCUUGGUUAAGAGAAUGAAUGGAUUUAUAGAUAUUUAUCUAGCAUGAAUAGUCAUCUCGCUACAGAUUUUUAUUAUUAGUUACUCGUGGUAGUUUGAGAAAUAUUCCCCUGUAGGCUCUGUGUUUGAAUAUUUGCUUUCCAGUAGUUGGUGCUGUUUGGGAAGGUUUAAGUGGUGUGGCCUCACCAGACAGUACAUCACACCAAGAGGAGGCUUUGAGAUUCUGUACCCUCACGCUCCUUACAGUUCAUCUCUCUUCCUGCUCCUUCCACCAUGCCUGCUGCCUGUUACCAUGGCUCCCUUCCCAUGGUGGACUCUUAUCCUCCUGGAAACAUAAGCCUUAUAAGCUCCUCCAUAAAUUGCUUUUGGCUAUGGUGUGUUAUCAGAGCAACAGAAGAGUAACUAAUGUAUCGCCCUUCAGGAGAAUACUAACUAUUCUACUAACAGAGGCACUGUUGGUCUCUUUCAAGGACAGUGUGCCUGGUAGAGGGCAGGGACACAUUUGGUGUGAGCACCUGAAAAGGUAGAUCACUUAGGAAAACCGUGGCUCAAGUCAACAGUCCCUCGUGAGGCCUGGCUUUCUUGGUUUACAAGCUUGUCCCUCUCCUAUGGUACACCAUAUGGCUACCACCGAGGACAACGGUCUUUGGAAUGGUCCCCUUCACCCUGGCUCUGCUAAUGUUGCUCCUACUUGCGGAAGUUAAUUCUUGUGGGGAAUCUGCCUGUUCAAAUGAAUUUUCUCCCUCACCUCUCCUCCCGACCCCUCGCCUCCCCAUUUUAUCACACUGGGAAGAGGAAGAAAUUAACCAUAAAGUUUGGCUCACUGGGGCUGGUCUCAGUGGCUGGAAAUGCCGGGGUCUCUGUGGCAGUCUGCCUCCUGAGAAGAGCCCCGAUUCUUUUCUGUCUCCUUUCCUUCUGUCUGGGGUCACAGUGCUGCCCCCGUCACGGUGACCCAGUGAAAGAAGCCAGUGUACCACAUUGUGCAGUUUAAGAGUUAGCGAGCUCUGACUCUCUGGACUUCCUUCUCUCAAGAGUCUGACUUUCUACCAGCCUCCUCUGCCCUAAGCUCCAGGGCCGUUGAAGACAUCCUGAGCACUUUGCUACUCCACUGGAGUGCGCUCAGUGGUGCACAGGGACCUCAUAGCACCCAGGGCGGGCAUUCCUCCUGCCAUGGCGUCUGCCGCCCUGCUUCUCCUUUAAUUGCACUUACUCUUUUAUGGAGUGACAGCAGCUAAAUUUAUUUAUCAGGAUGCUCUCAUGUUCCCUCUUAAAGAGCAUCUAGAUUAAUAAACAUCAAGCAUAGAAACCUAA